CUGAAAGGCGUUGUUUGCUUCCAAAGAGAAAAUUAUCGGAGAAAAUCCACUGUCUACCGUAUAUAUUCCAUCAUCGGAAUAUUGUAUUCAUAGAUAAACAAGUUCAGUAUUUUUCUAAAAAGGACCACAGAUUGUAUAUCAGCAUGAUUGGUUUCACCAUUUUUGUUAUGGUGGUGUUCGAGACCUGUAAAUGGUGGAGAAAGGACGAUGAAACAGAUAUUGACAAUGAUAUAUCACGGGAAGUUGACGUGAUGCUGGAGAACAUUCAGAGGUCUUUGUAAAAAAGAAUGUAUGUGAAAUAAAAUAUUUACGAUA
This is a long non-coding RNA of Magallana angulata, 315 nucleotides long. RefSeq lists it as uncharacterized. The transcript is spliced from 3 exons. The record is from RefSeq and is a predicted model, not a curated record. Lineage: Eukaryota; Metazoa; Mollusca; Bivalvia; Ostreida; Ostreidae.